RNAcentral lists this ribosomal RNA (508 nucleotides) under Streptomyces sp. SCAU5117. RNAcentral's name for it is "bacterial SSU rRNA". It matches the Rfam family "Bacterial small subunit ribosomal RNA", at positions 116 to 638 of the family's 1533-position model. Lineage: Bacteria; Bacillati; Actinomycetota; Actinomycetes; Kitasatosporales; Streptomycetaceae. The record is from RNAcentral.
CGUGGGCAAUCUGCCCUUCACUCUGGGACAAGCCCUGGAAACGGGGUCUAAUACCGGAUAACACCGGCUUCCGCAUGGGAGCUGGUUGAAAGCUCCGGCGGUGAAGGAUGAGCCCGCGGCCUAUCAGCUUGUUGGUGGGGUAAUGGCCUACCAAGGCGACGACGGGUAGCCGGCCUGAGAGGGCGACCGGCCACACUGGGACUGAGACACGGCCCAGACUCCUACGGGAGGCAGCAGUGGGGAAUAUUGCACAAUGGGCGAAAGCCUGAUGCAGCGACGCCGCGUGAGGGAUGACGGCCUUCGGGUUGUAAACCUCUUUCAGCAGGGAAGAAGCGAAAGUGACGGUACCUGCAGAAGAAGCGCCGGCUAACUACGUGCCAGCAGCCGCGGUAAUACGUAGGGCGCAAGCGUUGUCCGGAAUUAUUGGGCGUAAAGAGCUCGUAGGCGGCUUGUCACGUCGGGUGUGAAAGCCCGGGGCUUAACCCCGGGUCUGCAUCCGAUACGGGCA